UCUUUUAUAUUUGAUGAUGUUAGUAUGAUGGAAGAUGCAAAUGUAUAAAUAAAGUUUAAAUGUAAUAUUGAGAGUUUAUGUUAUAUUUUGGAGGCUUGAUGUAUAAAGAGAAGAAAUGAUGAAAAGAAUGUAAAAGUUGAAUGCAUGUAUGUGGUUAAAAGUUAAUCAUAUUACUUGUAUAUUGUUUAGUUUAGAAUCU
This 199-nucleotide long non-coding RNA is filed under the name Ananas comosus (pineapple). RNAcentral's name for it is "long non-coding RNA (ACOM_LNC034766)". The record is from RNAcentral. Lineage: Eukaryota; Viridiplantae; Streptophyta; Magnoliopsida; Poales; Bromeliaceae.